This 263-nucleotide ribosomal RNA is filed under the name uncultured bacterium. RNAcentral's name for it is "partial 16S ribosomal RNA". It matches the Rfam family "Bacterial small subunit ribosomal RNA", at positions 95 to 354 of the family's 1533-position model. The record is from RNAcentral.
CCGGCGCACGGGUGAGUAACACGUAUGGAACCUGCCCUAUGCAGGGGGAUAAGCGGAAGAAAUUCCGUCUAAUACCGCAUAACACCUUUAGGAGACAUCUUCUUGGGGUCAAAGGAGGCGACUCCGGCAUAGGAUGGCCAUGCGUCGCAUUAGCUAGUCGGCGGGGUAACGGCCCACCGAGGCGACGAUGCGUAGGGGUUCUGAGAGGAAGGUCCCCCACACUGGUACUGAGACACGGACCAGACUCCUACGGAAGGCAGCAG